Long non-coding RNA from Papaver somniferum (opium poppy), 2122 nucleotides. RefSeq lists it as uncharacterized. The transcript has 8 exons. Lineage: Eukaryota; Viridiplantae; Streptophyta; Magnoliopsida; Ranunculales; Papaveraceae. The record is from RefSeq and is a predicted model, not a curated record.
CUAAUUCUUACUUUUCGAAUUUCACACAAGAGGUUGUACAACUAUUUUGACAGUUGUGGAAGGAAUGGAUAGCUUUGUAUCUGAGUUUGCGAAUGCAUAGCUUUGUAUCCUGAAAUUGAUGAAGCUAUGAGUUGUGCAGAGAUGCUCGAGAAAGUUCUCUCUUUUGAUAUUGUAGGCACAAAGGUAUAUCUAAUCAGUAGACUGUGAUCUUAGACAAUUUUUGAGACUGUGAACUGAGACCCACGGAACGAAUUCUGCAGAUGACUCUGGUGCUGGUGACAAAGUUAUUAGUUUGGGGUUAAUUUGAAUCAGUUGGUGGUGAUUUUGUUGAUGUUGCUGGUUCGUGAACACAGAGAAGAUUGUGAUUCUAAUGGUGCCGUGCAGUAUUGGAAUUGAAGCUUGAAUGGGGUUGUGGGUUUGUUUGGCUGAGUCACUCUCUUAAAUUGCUUUUACUGAUCAAAGCAGGAGAUUUCUGCAGAAGAGAAAGAUUAGCCAGGCAGUGGGGAGUAAAUCGGCAAUGUUCAUAUGCAUUAUGCUAGGAUAAUUGCAUUGCUGCACGUUGUAUAUCAGUGCAAAACAGAGGAAAGAUGGCAAGAAAAGUUAGUUUCAGGAAGUCUAAUUCUUACUUUUCGAAUUUCACACAAGAGGUUGUACAACUAUUUUGACAGUUGUGGAAGGAAUGGAUAGCUUUGUAUCUGAGUUUGCGAAUGCAGUUCCUGAAAUUGAUGAAGCUCUGAGUUGUGCAGAGAAGCUCGAGAAAGUUCUCUCUUUUGAUAUUGUAGGUUAGAUAGACUUACUAAAAUGUUAAUGCUCUGGAAGUCACUCUCUUAAAUUGCUUUUACUGAUCAAAGCAGGAGAUUUCUGCAGAAGAGAAAGAUUGUUAAUUAUGAUGAAAUUCCUGGCUGUCUCUUGAAUUUGCUGAGUCUGCUGUUAGCUCUUCAAUUGUUUGGCUGAGUUUGCUGUUAGCUCUUGAAUUUAAUAAUUAUGAUGAAAUUCCUGGCUUUUACAUUUUUUAACUAGCUUUCUUUUCAGUCAUGGUUUUUGAUGUUGUUCAAUUCUUACCAUUUUGAUGGCAGAACCAUCAAAUCGUAUCGGAGCUGAGACUGCACGUGUACUUGCAAUACAUGAAGUUCAAGUAUUUAUUGCAGUGAGGAAUAUAACUGAACAUAUUUUACAGUCGAUGCUGUAAUUGCUGAGGUACACAAACGAGAACUCUUAACCAGGGUUUCUGUUGUUGUGUAGAGAGACAAUGAGACAUGGUGAGAAAAAGCUGGCAUCUAUCUCAUCUCAGUUGCUGAUACACUUACGGAUGGAAAAGCAAAACAUAAUCAUCUUGGCUUAUCGAUCCUGUUCUUAUUUAAGGUCGUAUCUGUUCAUAAAUUUGAUGCUUGGAUUAGCAAUUUGGAUGAUUUUGUUGGUUAUGUAAUUAGAAAUUCAUCUUAGUUUUGCAGCGUUCAAAAGUAUAGAAAACCUUUGAAACUGUGUGAGGGUCAGCAUUGGAGCUAUCAAAACAUUGGGGGUUAAAGUUCUGAUCUUCUUAGCCUCUAGCCUUCUCAAGAGAAAGGUCUGUCCUGCUCUAUUGAAGAUUUUUCUGCUCUUUUAUGAACGGGUUCACACUCUUAUGAUGGGUGCAAGAGUAUAGAAAACCUUUGAAGCUUUGCGAUUGUAUUAUCUACGAAGUGCUGCAACUUUGUGGAGAAUCCUAUUUAGUUGCGAAACAUGUCUAUCAGAGGUAAAUCCUAUUACUUUAUGCAAGGACCUAAAGUCUGUGGCUGCCAAACUGAAACUGACAGGCAUAUCAGCAAACUGUGGGUGUACAAGUUACCAGCAAGCUUCCUUAGAAUGUAUAAAUUGCCAUAUGUUUUACUCCUCCGUGGACUGUUCCUCAUGCUAUUAAGCUGUUCUAUUGGGAGCAUUGAAUCUGUCAUCAUGUACAUUGUGUAGGAUUGUGAUUGUAUUCUUUCAGUUAAGACUUAUAUUGAAUCUAUCCUGUGUCGUGUUAAGGGCUUCGAGGUACUAAUGUUUGCUACGGAUUCUCAACGGGUAUACUAUAUUCCGUGGUAAUUAUCGCAUGUCUUUAUCAUCUCCACUCCUCAAUGUGAAGUUUUUACAGCUUUUUACA